Long non-coding RNA from Chinchilla lanigera (long-tailed chinchilla), 225 nucleotides. RefSeq lists it as uncharacterized. The record is from RefSeq and is a predicted model, not a curated record. The transcript has 3 exons. NCBI's taxonomy places the organism in Eukaryota, Metazoa, Chordata, Mammalia, Rodentia, Chinchillidae.
CAGAGACCAGUCUCCUGGCAGGGGAGGAGGGUUAGGAGGUCAAGGUGCCUUCCCGAGAACUGCAGUCUCUAUCCCUUCAGAGCCACCUCCCAGGCAGAGCUGCCGGUCAUGACCACAGCUCAGAGCCCGGCCCCUCCGCAAUGGCCCGCACAGCACCAAAGUGCUCCGGAAUCUGCAGGCAGAAGCAGGUGUCCAGGACCAGCCUGGGACCGCUCCUCCCCUCCU